UUUGGUCCCCGGGGCGCUGGCUGGCGCCGUGGAGGGACGGGUCGGCGGCGUCCAUCACCUCCACCUCGGAGGAAUCAUCGCUUGACUCCUCCCCCUCGUGGCUCCGACGGCAUCCUUGCUUCUUUGAACGAACACCUAUAGUUUGCUCUGCCUUUAUCUGUUAACUGAACUGUGCAGUUUCAUUGGCGCCCAAGGCCAUCUUCACUGCUAACUCCUGAGAAGGAGGAAAAGAUCUCAAAUCGGAACCAGGAAUGAUUAAUUGUGUCUUUUGAUUGCAGCUUUGUUCCAUUGUUGUAAAAACAUCAGUAAAUAAGGAACAGAAAGAAAGAAAGUUUGAGUUAUUAC
RNAcentral lists this long non-coding RNA (345 nucleotides) under Brachypodium distachyon (stiff brome). RNAcentral's name for it is "long non-coding RNA (BDIS_LNC001465)". Lineage: Eukaryota; Viridiplantae; Streptophyta; Magnoliopsida; Poales; Poaceae. The record is from RNAcentral.